UACGUAGGGGGCUAGCGUUGUCCGGAAUCAUUGGGCGUAAAGCGCGUGUAGGCGGCCAAGCAGGUCCGCUGUGAAAACUCGAGGCUCAACCUCGAGACGUCGGUGGAAACCGUUUGGCUAGAGUCCGGAAGAGGAGAGUGGAAUUCCCGGUGUAGCGGUGAAAUGCGCAGAUAUCGGGAAGAACACCCGUGGCGAAGGCGGCUCUCUGGGACGGUACUGACGCUGAGACGCGAAAGCGUGGGGAGCGAACAGG
RNAcentral lists this ribosomal RNA (253 nucleotides) under uncultured bacterium. RNAcentral's name for it is "partial 16S ribosomal RNA". It matches the Rfam family "Bacterial small subunit ribosomal RNA", at positions 524 to 776 of the family's 1533-position model. The record is from RNAcentral.